RNAcentral lists this non-coding RNA (28 nucleotides) under Rattus norvegicus (Norway rat). The record is from RNAcentral. Lineage: Eukaryota; Metazoa; Chordata; Mammalia; Rodentia; Muridae.
UGUUGUACAGCACCAAGCACUAAAAUUG